Molecule: long non-coding RNA, 3174 nt
Filed under: Brassica napus (rape)
Lineage: Eukaryota; Viridiplantae; Streptophyta; Magnoliopsida; Brassicales; Brassicaceae
Description: long non-coding RNA (BNAP_LNC002236)
Source: RNAcentral
UUGCACCUUACAUAGAAGUCAACAGACUCAACACCAAGGAUUAAGAUCCUUUUGAUUCUUUUCUUCUUUUUUUUUACCGGGAAAUGAUAGGUUGUUAAGGUAUAUAGAUAGUUUUACAUUUCUCUCAUGAUUUGUGGCGAAAAGCAUUUAUCCAAAGUUGGCCAAAUGAUAAUGUAUAUAUUACUUACUAUAUAGGAAAGGAAUGAGUUACACUCUUCUUGCAAAUAUGUGUUACAACGUCACUUUAUAAUACCUUCGGGCAUUAGUGAGUUUUGGUCAUGAGUUUUGAUACCCCAAUUUAUUUACAUUCGGGCAUAUGCGAUGUUCGGCUGGUAAAAAGUAAAAAGAAGAAAAGAGUAUUGUUGGAGAUGGGUUUCACCCUAUUCUAGACUCGGUCUGAGAUCCCAAUCCAAGCAUAAUAAAAUUCAUAUCAAGUAUAGUUGAGGCCUAAGAAGGAACAAUAUAGGUCUACGAAGGUUAAAGUCCACCUCUGACUGAAAAAGUUUCACAUGCCGAGCUCGAUGAGUCAAAAUAUAGGUCUACGAAGGUAUUGAUUCGAUUUUUUUGAGCUAUAAUUUACUCUUCUUCUCCGAGUUUCCUUUUCUGUUAAGUAUUCACAGUUUGACAAAUCUUCCUACAUUUAAUGUUUCUCUUUAUUACCUCCAAUCAAUUUUUUUUUACGGUCAAUUUCUCUUAUUACUUAUUAGCCUAGUUCUUCUCGUGAUUGCUCUGGAGAAUUCAUGUGUUUUGGAGUUUGAUGAUGAUGACGAAACUCUCUGAAACUGUGUUUGUUUGUUCGUUUUUUUUUUUGCAGUGAUUUUGAGGUUUAAUUGGAGAGACUAGAGUGCAAUCAUCCGUGUUGAGAUGGGGAAUGGUGAAGAAACAAAAUGUGUUUUCCCCUUUAACCUUUUGAUUCUUUUCUUCUUUUUUUUUACCGGGAAAUGAUAGGUUGUUAAGGUAUAUAGAUAGUUUUACAUUUCUCUCAUGAUUUGUGGCGAAAAGCAUUUAUCCAAAGUUGGCCAAAUGAUAAUGUAUAUAUUACUUACUAUAUAGGAAAGGAAUGAGUUACACUCUUCUUGCAAAUAUGUGUUACAACGUCACUUUAUAAUACCUUCGGGCAUUAGUGAGUUUUGGUCAUGAGUUUUGAUACCCCAAUUUAUUUACAUUCGGGCAUAUGCGAUGUUCGGCUGGUAAAAAGUAAAAAGAAGAAAAGAGUAUUGUUGGAGAUGGGUUUCACCCUAUUCUAGACUCGGUCUGAGAUCCCAAUCCAAGCAUAAUAAAAUUCAUAUCAAGUAUAGUUGAGGCCUAAGAAGGAACAAUAUAGGUCUACGAAGGUUAAAGUCCACCUCUGACUGAAAAAGUUUCACAUGCCGAGCUCGAUGAGUCAAAAUAUAGGUCUACGAAGGUAUUGAUUCGAUUUUUUUGAGCUAUAAUUUACUCUUCUUCUCCGAGUUUCCUUUUCUGUUAAGUAUUCACAGUUUGACAAAUCUUCCUACAUUUAAUGUUUCUCUUUAUUACCUCCAAUCAAUUUUUUCUUACGGUCAAUUUCUCUUAUUACUUAUUAGCCUAGUUCUUCUCGUGAUUGCUCUGGAGAAUUCAUGUGUUUUGGAGUUUGAUGAUGAUGACGAAACUCUCUGAAACUGUGUUUGUUUGUUCGUUUUUUUUUUUGCAGUGAUUUUGAGGUUUAAUUGGAGAGACUAGAGUGCAAUCAUCCGUGUUGAGAUGGGGAAUGGUGAAGAAACAAAAUGUGUUUUCCCCUUGACGAGUCUCCAGAUCGGGUAAGUUCUCUUCGCUCUGUUGAUCAGCUUAUGGGACUAUUUUAGUUUCCUUGUUCUGUCUUUUGCUUUUUAAUUACAAUAUAAUAAAGUCUUGUUUCACCUAUUGUUUAACCUUGUCCUUCCUGACAAAACAAGUUCUUUUUUUUUUUGGUCUUGAUAAUUUGUAUGAAAGAUCUGCAUUGUAAACAGUGAUAGUCCAAGGUUUGGUACUUUCAGAUAUCAAUCAAUGGUUCUCUGCAGUUCAUGUAUAUAUAUGAACAUGGACUUAUAUGACCUGUUUAUAAGGACAAUCUAGUUUCCGGUUCUGUUUUUUUUUUUUUUUUUUUUGUACCUUUAUAUUAGCAUUGUUUCGGGUCUUAUUUUGAAUUGAAUGCUUGUGGAAUUCUGAUGCCUGGGUUUUAUAUUCCUUUCUUGAUUCUGAUGUUUUAUCAAUUCUUGGUGUUAAUAUUAAAAACAUCUCCCUGUGAAGUGAAUUAUAGUUUGAACCAGCACCUUUGUUCUAGCAAUUCUCUUGUCUAGUUUCAUGAUAUUCUCUUCUCUGUGGAAAGGCAACAGGGUUGCGUGUGUGUUUGUUCUGAAUCUCAAUGUGUGUUGCCUUCUUUUUCUUGUAAAAGUUCUUAAUCUGGUAACAGUUACGUGUCUGUUACAUAGGUUGUCACAUUUUAUUUGCCUGAUGUUCUCUGCUUAUCUGGCUUUUUCUUUGGUUUCAGAGACUUGCAGUCAUAUCUUUCUGAUCUCAGUAUUUUCAUGGGCAAUAAAAGCAAGAAGAUUUACAUAUUGGUAGACAACCGGCCAUGGUUGAAUCCCGGCACCCGAUCUGCUCACUUCUGGCAACUAAUGGUUACAAAGGUUGUCAAAAACUGCUUCCUAAGUACCUUUUCUUAUUGUCGCUUCAGAUGAAAAACCUGAUGAACUGACUGACCCCUCUCUUUGUUUGCAGUCCAGACUCUCCCCUUUUGCAAACACGAAAGGUCGAGAAGGGAAGAAAAAGCAGAAGUUUUUUUUUAUUAUAUAAUAGAAUAUAUAUAAAAAUUCAUUAAGGAUAACAUAAACUUUAGCCACUCUGUUUUUUAACGUGAGAGCUCCGUUGCUAUAAAAUUAUUUCGAAAAUAAUAGUAUAGAUUGAAAUUAGCGUUGACUUCUAAAGACUAGGCAUAAAUUUCAAAUUUUUGAUUAGUUAAGGUAUGUUUUGGCAUGCAAUAAGAGUUGGGGUAUGUAUUUUUUUAUCGACCCAUAGUUCAGGCACGAAUUUUAAAUUUUUGAUUAGUGUAGGUAUGUUUCGACUUGCAGUAAAAGUUGAGGUAUGUAUUCUCUCAGCAACCCCUAGUUCGGGCAUGAAUAAGCCGUUUUCCCCAAAUAUGUGUUACAACGUCACUUUAUAAUACCUUCGGGCAUU